CGGCGAGUGAAGCGGCAACAGCUCAAAUUUGAAAUCUGGCUCUCGGGCCCGAGUUGUAAUUUGUAGAGGAUACUUUUGAUGCGGUGCCUUCCGAGUUCCCUGGAACGGGACGCCAUAGAGGGUGAGAGCCCCGUCUGGUUGGAUGCCAAAUCUCUGUAAAGUUCCUUCGACGAGUCGAGUAGUUUGGGAAUGCUGCUCUAAAUGGGAGGUAUAUGUCUUCUAAAGCUAAAUACCGGCCAGAGACCGAUAGCGCACAAGUAGAGUGAUCGAAAGAUGAAAAGCACUUUGAAAAGAGAGUUAAAAAGUACGUGAAAUUGUUGAAAGGGAAGCGUUUAUGACCAGACUUGGGCUUGGUUAAUCAUCUGGGGUUCUCCCCAGUGCACUUUUCCAGUCCAGGCCAGCAUCAGUUUUCCCCGGGGGAUAAAGACUUCGGGAAUGUGGCUCUCUUCGGGGAGUGUUAUAGCCCGUUGUGUAAUACCCUGGGGGGGACUGAGGUUCGCGCAUCUGCAAGGAUGCUGGCGUAAUGGUCAUCAACGACCCGUCUUGAAACACGGACCAAGGAGUCGUCUUCGUAUGCGAGUGUUCGGGUGUCAAACCCCUACGCGUAAUGAAAGUGAACGCAGGUGAGAGCUUCGGCGCAUCAUCGACCGAUCCUGAUGUUCUCGGAUGGAUUUGAGUAAGAGCAUACGGGGCCGGACCCGAAAGAAGGUGAACUAUGCCUGUAUAGGGUGAAGCCAGAGGAAACUCUGGUGGAGGCUCGCAGCGGUUCUGACGUGCAAAUCGAUCGUCAAAUAUGGGCAUGGGGGCGAAAGACUAAUCGAACCUUCUA
Molecule: ribosomal RNA, 829 nt
Filed under: Fusarium sp.
Lineage: Eukaryota; Fungi; Ascomycota; Sordariomycetes; Hypocreales; Nectriaceae
Description: partial large subunit ribosomal RNA
Rfam family: Eukaryotic large subunit ribosomal RNA
Source: RNAcentral